This 76-nucleotide transfer RNA is filed under the name Burkholderia multivorans. Its description in RNAcentral is "tRNA-Lys". The stretch from base 16 to 73 matches the Rfam family "tRNA". Rfam says of the family: Transfer RNA (tRNA) molecules are approximately 80 nucleotides in length. The record is from RNAcentral. Lineage: Bacteria; Pseudomonadati; Pseudomonadota; Betaproteobacteria; Burkholderiales; Burkholderiaceae.
AAGCGGAUAUAUAGCGGCCCGAUUAAACGGACUUUUAAUCCGUUGGUCGCAGGUUCGAAUCCUGCACGGCCUACCA